AUUGAACGCUGGCGGCAUGCUUUACACAUGCAAGUCGAACGGUAACAGGGAGCUUGCUCCGCUGACGAGUGGCGAACGGGUGAGUAAUGCGUCGGAACGUGCCGAGUAGUGGGGGAUAACGCAUCGAAAGGUGUGCUAAUACCGCAUACGUACUGAGGUAGAAAGUGGGGGACCUUCGGGCCUCACGCUAUUCGAGCGGCCGACGUCUGAUUAGCUAGUUGGUGAGGUGAAGGCUCACCAAGGCGACGAUCAGUAGCGGGUCUGAGAGGAUGAUCCGCCACACUGGGACUGAGACACGGCCCAGACUCCUACGGGAGGCAGCAGUGGGGAAUUUUGGACAAUGGGCGCAAGCCUGAUCCAGCCAUGCCGCGUGUCUGAAGAAGGCCUUCGGGUUGUAAAGGACUUUUGUCCGGGAGCAAAUACCCAGUGCUAAUAACGCUGGGGGCUGAGAGUACCGGAAGAAUAAGCACCGGCUAACUACGUGCCAGCAGCCGCGGUAAUACGUAGGGUGCAAGCGUUAAUCGGAAUUACUGGGCGUAAAGCGUGCGCAGGCGGUUUUGUAAGCCAGAUGUGAAAGCCCCGGGCUCAACCUGG
RNAcentral lists this ribosomal RNA (594 nucleotides) under uncultured bacterium. Its description in RNAcentral is "bacterial SSU rRNA". It matches the Rfam family "Bacterial small subunit ribosomal RNA", at positions 28 to 617 of the family's 1533-position model. The record is from RNAcentral.